This 476-nucleotide ribosomal RNA is filed under the name uncultured bacterium. RNAcentral's name for it is "bacterial SSU rRNA". It matches the Rfam family "Bacterial small subunit ribosomal RNA", at positions 627 to 1102 of the family's 1533-position model. The record is from RNAcentral.
UGGAGACUGGUUGGCUUGAGUGCGGAAGAGGUAAGUGGAAUUCCCAGUGUAGCGGUGAAAUGCGUAGAGAUUGGGAGGAACACCAGUGGCGAAGGCGACUUACUGGGCCGUAACUGACGCUGAGGCGCGAAAGCGUGGGGAGCGAACAGGAUUAGAUACCCUGGUAGUCCACGCUGUAAACGAUGAAUGCUAGGUGUUGCGGGUAUCGACCCCUGCAGUGCCGGAGUAAACGCAAUAAGCAUUCCGCCUGGGGAGUACGGCCGCAAGGUUGAAACUCAAAGGAAUUGACGGGGGCCCGCACAAGCAGCGGAGCAUGUUGUUUAAUUUGAAGCAACGCGAAGAACCUUACCAUGUCUUGACAUCGAGGUAAAGCCGUAGAGAUACGGUGUGGAUUCGUCCGACCGAAGACAGGUGGUGCAUGGUUGUCGUCAGCUCGUGUCGUGAGAUGUUGGGUUAAGUCCCGCAACGAGCGCAAC